RNAcentral lists this ribosomal RNA (1554 nucleotides) under Klebsiella pneumoniae subsp. pneumoniae. RNAcentral describes it as "bacterial SSU rRNA". It matches the Rfam family "Bacterial small subunit ribosomal RNA". Lineage: Bacteria; Pseudomonadati; Pseudomonadota; Gammaproteobacteria; Enterobacterales; Enterobacteriaceae. The record is from RNAcentral.
ACUUAAAUUGAAGAGUUUGAUCAUGGCUCAGAUUGAACGCUGGCGGCAGGCCUAACACAUGCAAGUUGAGCGGUAGCACAGAGAGCUUGCUCUCGGGUGACGAGCGGCGGACGGGUGAGUAAUGUCUGGGAAACUGCCUGAUGGAGGGGGAUAACUACUGGAAACGGUAGCUAAUACCGCAUAACGUCGCAAGACCAAAGUGGGGGACCUUCGGGCCUCAUGCCAUCAGAUGUGCCCAGAUGGGAUUAGCUAGUAGGUGGGGUAAUGGCUCACCUAGGCGACGAUCCCUAGCUGGUCUGAGAGGAUGACCAGCCACACUGGAACUGAGACACGGUCCAGACUCCUACGGGAGGCAGCAGUGGGGAAUAUUGCACAAUGGGCGCAAGCCUGAUGCAGCCAUGCCGCGUGUGUGAAGAAGGCCUUCGGGUUGUAAAGCACUUUCAGCGGGGAGGAAGGCGUUAAGGUUAAUAACCUUGGCGAUUGACGUUACCCGCAGAAGAAGCACCGGCUAACUCCGUGCCAGCAGCCGCGGUAAUACGGAGGGUGCAAGCGUUAAUCGGAAUUACUGGGCGUAAAGCGCACGCAGGCGGUCUGUCAAGUCGGAUGUGAAAUCCCCGGGCUCAACCUGGGAACUGCAUUCGAAACUGGCAGGCUAGAGUCUUGUAGAGGGGGGUAGAAUUCCAGGUGUAGCGGUGAAAUGCGUAGAGAUCUGGAGGAAUACCGGUGGCGAAGGCGGCCCCCUGGACAAAGACUGACGCUCAGGUGCGAAAGCGUGGGGAGCAAACAGGAUUAGAUACCCUGGUAGUCCACGCCGUAAACGAUGUCGAUUUGGAGGUUGUGCCCUUGAGGCGUGGCUUCCGGAGCUAACGCGUUAAAUCGACCGCCUGGGGAGUACGGCCGCAAGGUUAAAACUCAAAUGAAUUGACGGGGGCCCGCACAAGCGGUGGAGCAUGUGGUUUAAUUCGAUGCAACGCGAAGAACCUUACCUGGUCUUGACAUCCACAGAACUUUCCAGAGAUGGAUUGGUGCCUUCGGGAACUGUGAGACAGGUGCUGCAUGGCUGUCGUCAGCUCGUGUUGUGAAAUGUUGGGUUAAGUCCCGCAACGAGCGCAACCCUUAUCCUUUGUUGCCAGCGGUUAGGCCGGGAACUCAAAGGAGACUGCCAGUGAUAAACUGGAGGAAGGUGGGGAUGACGUCAAGUCAUCAUGGCCCUUACGACCAGGGCUACACACGUGCUACAAUGGCAUAUACAAAGAGAAGCGACCUCGCGAGAGCAAGCGGACCUCAUAAAGUAUGUCGUAGUCCGGAUUGGAGUCUGCAACUCGACUCCAUGAAGUCGGAAUCGCUAGUAAUCGUAGAUCAGAAUGCUACGGUGAAUACGUUCCCGGGCCUUGUACACACCGCCCGUCACACCAUGGGAGUGGGUUGCAAAAGAAGUAGGUAGCUUAACCUUCGGGAGGGCGCUUACCACUUUGUGAUUCAUGACUGGGGUGAAGUCGUAACAAGGUAACCGUAGGGGAACCUGCGGUUGGAUCACCUCCUUACCUUAAAGAA